Molecule: unclassified non-coding RNA, 230 nt
Filed under: Hevea brasiliensis (rubber tree)
Lineage: Eukaryota; Viridiplantae; Streptophyta; Magnoliopsida; Malpighiales; Euphorbiaceae
Source: RNAcentral
AAAUGACUCUAGUUUGUGUGUUCUACAACUGCUAAACAUGCAAAUUGUGCAUCUUCAGAACUUGCAUUGCUAAUUCUGCAUCUUGAUAAUAGCAUUGGUCCUUGUAUCAAUGUGAGAGUUUUGCAUUCAGGUUUUUAUGUGAUUAUCCUUAUCCCAAAAGAUACAAUUGUUUAGUUUGUUAUGUUCUAAUUCUAGUAUUUUUCUAAAGAUUAUGUUAGAGCAGAAUAGAG